RNAcentral lists this ribosomal RNA (483 nucleotides) under uncultured bacterium. RNAcentral describes it as "partial 16S ribosomal RNA". It matches the Rfam family "Bacterial small subunit ribosomal RNA", at positions 30 to 507 of the family's 1533-position model. The record is from RNAcentral.
UUGAACGCUGGCGGCAGGCCUAACACAUGCAAGUCGAGCGGAUGAAGGGAGCUUGCUCCUGGAUUCAGCGGCGGACGGGUGAGUAAUGCCUAGGAAUCUGCCUGGUAGUGGGGGAUAACGUCCGGAAACGGGCGCUAAUACCGCAUACGUCCUGAGGGAGAAAGUGGGGGAUCUUCGGACCUCACGCUAUCAGAUGAGCCUAGGCCGGAUUAGCUAGUUGGUGGGGUAAAGGCCUACCAAGGCGACGAUCCGUAACUGGUCAGAGAGGAUGGUCAGUCACACAGGAACUGAGACACGGUCCAGACUCCUACGGGAGGCAGCAGUGGGGAAUAUUGGACAAUGGGCGAAAGCCUGAUCCAGCCAUGCCGCGUGUGUGAAGAAGGUCUUCGGAUUGUAAAGCACUUUAAGUUGGGAGGAAGGGCAGUAAGUUAAUACCUUGCUGUUUUGACGUUACCAACAGAAUAAGCACCGGCUAACUUCGUG